UGGGGAAUAUUGCGCAAUGGGCGGAGGCCUGACGCAGCGACGCCGCGUGGGGGAUGAAGGCCUUCGGGUUGUAAACCUCUUUCAGCAGGGACGAAUCCAGACGUGUACCUGCAGAAGAAGCGCCGGCUAACUACGUGCCAGCAGCCGCGGUAAUACGUAGGGCGCAAGCGUUGUCCGGAAUUAUUGGGCGUAAAGAGCUCGUAGGUGGCUUGUCGCGUCCGACGUGAAAGCCCGCGGCUUAACCGCGGGUCUGCGUUGGAUACGGGCAGGCUAGAGGCUGGUAGGGGCAAGCGGAAUUCCUGGUGUAGCGGUGAAAUGCGCAGAUAUCAGGAGGAACACCGGUGGCGAAGGCGGCUUGCUGGGCCAGUUCUGACGCUGAGGAGCGAAAGCGUGGGGAGCGGAACAGGAUUAGAUACCCUGGUAGUCCACGACCGUAAACGGUUGGGCGCGUAGGU
RNAcentral lists this ribosomal RNA (455 nucleotides) under uncultured Actinomycetes bacterium. Its description in RNAcentral is "bacterial SSU rRNA". It matches the Rfam family "Bacterial small subunit ribosomal RNA", at positions 355 to 821 of the family's 1533-position model. The record is from RNAcentral. Lineage: Bacteria; Bacillati; Actinomycetota; Actinomycetes.